Molecule: unclassified non-coding RNA, 326 nt
Filed under: Hevea brasiliensis (rubber tree)
Lineage: Eukaryota; Viridiplantae; Streptophyta; Magnoliopsida; Malpighiales; Euphorbiaceae
Source: RNAcentral
UUUUUUUUUGGGACAGAAGUUAGACUGGAGAACUAUGAUUUAACUAUGUGGUUUCUUACUAGAACUGAAUUUAUAAUUCUUUGUAAAUAAAAAUGGCUUCCUAGUAUACCAUAGUACUUUCCAAUUCCUAAUAUUAAAUGAAGAUAUUUCACUAUUGUAUACAUCUAAUCAUAGAAUUUAAUAUUCCUGUUAUACAGCCACUAUAAUGACCAUCCUUCUCAUUUUGCUUGUUUAUAAUAUAAAAUUUUUUUCUUAGUUAUGGAUUUCAAAGUAUGGCUCUUUGUAUCUUUCAAUGAAAUUGCAAGUGUCUGAAGACAGUAUGUGUG